UUAGGGCUAAGAGGGGGGCCGGCCAUACAUAGGGAGAUUCAUGGAGUAGACCAUUUCCCUCUGCUGGAAUUUAUCAAUAAUAUUAUCAAAGUAUUCGUGGGCUGCUGGUGGUUGUUGGGUUGCGUCACCCCACUCCAGAUCAGCACUAUCACAAUUGAUUCACACCCCAUAUAGCUAAUAUGAUUUCUGUUACAGUUGAUGUUGUGGUUGGUUCCUCUGACUUCGAAACUGAAAAACAUUCACACUCAUUAGGGUCGUUGUCAUUUACGGGUGGAGGUGGCAGAAGAGUGGGGUAUUUCUCUCUCGCCAUCUUUCUCUCAGCCAAUCUUGCGCCACCAUUUUCCCGCCCUAAGCUUCUGCACCAAUUUAGCUCCAAACCGACAGUGAGAGACAAUGAUUGGUUAUGAUAGAUAAUGAAAACAUUUAGCUUACUAACAUACAUCUUAC
RNAcentral lists this long non-coding RNA (447 nucleotides) under Gossypium barbadense (sea-island cotton). RNAcentral's name for it is "long non-coding RNA (GBAR_LNC017565)". Lineage: Eukaryota; Viridiplantae; Streptophyta; Magnoliopsida; Malvales; Malvaceae. The record is from RNAcentral.